Molecule: ribosomal RNA, 312 nt
Filed under: Lagria hirta
Lineage: Eukaryota; Metazoa; Arthropoda; Insecta; Coleoptera; Tenebrionidae
Description: partial 12S ribosomal RNA
Source: RNAcentral
GAUACCCUAUUAUUAAAAACGUAAUUAUAAAUUUUAGACUAUUAAAAUUUAAUAUUUAAAAAUCUAAAGUUUUGGCGGUAUUUUAAUCUUGUCNGAGGAACCUGUUUAAUAAUUGAUAAUCCCCAAUGGAAAUAACUUGAAUUUUUAAUUUAUAUAUCGUUGUUAAAAAAAUUUUAAAAGAUAAUUUUUAAAAGUUUAAAAUUGAAUUAACUUCAAAUCAAGAUGUAGUUUAUAUUUAAGAUUUAAUGGGUUACAAUAUAUUUAUAUUUAGAAGUAAGAUAAAAAAAAUUACUAAAAAUGGAUUGAAAGUAA